RNAcentral lists this ribosomal RNA (494 nucleotides) under uncultured bacterium. Its description in RNAcentral is "partial 16S ribosomal RNA". It matches the Rfam family "Bacterial small subunit ribosomal RNA", at positions 28 to 507 of the family's 1533-position model. The record is from RNAcentral.
GACGAACGCUGGCGGCGUGCUUAACACAUGCAAGUCGAACGGUGAAGCGCCUUCCUUUUUGGUGGGUGUGGAUGAGUGGCGAACGGGUGAGUAACACGUGAGUAACCUGCCCCCUUCUUCUGGAUAACCGCAUGAAAGUGUGGCUAAUACGGGAUAUUCUGGGUCUGUCGCAUGAUGGGUCUGGGAAAGAUAUUGUUUCGGGGGGGGAUGGGCUCGCGGCCUAUCAGCUUGGUGGUGGGGUGAUGGCCUACCAAGGCGGUGGCGGGUAGCCGGCCUGAGAGGGUGGACGGUCACACUGGGACUGAGACACGGCCCAGACUCCUACGGGAGGCAGCAGUGGGGAAUAUUGCACAAUGGGCGCAAGCCUGACGCAGCGACGCCGCGUGAGGGAUGGAGGCCUUCGGGUUGUGAACCUCUUUCGCCAGUGAAGCAGGCCUGCCUCGUUUGUGGGUGGGUUGACGGUAGCUGGAUAAGAAGCGCCGGCUAACUACGUG